UUUCCGUAGGUGAACCUGCGGAAGGAUCAUUAACACGUCUAUUUAACAACUUACACGUGAACAAACUCACUUUGGCUUGAGAUUAUGCGCAAAUGUUGCUGUAAUGUUUCAUUGCAAGUAGUCUCAUCCGAAGUUUCUCUGCUAUCACUUUAUUGGGAUAGUGGAGGCGGCGGUUAGUCAAGUUCGCUUGUUUAGCCGUCGUUGCCGUUCAAUCCAAUUUGAGUAUUAUAUUGUGAAUGUCACAACCAAAAUUAACACUUUCAACAGUGGAUAUCUUGGCUCCCGCAUCGAUGAAGACGCAGC
RNAcentral lists this unclassified non-coding RNA (303 nucleotides) under plant metagenome. RNAcentral's name for it is "partial contains small subunit ribosomal RNA, internal transcribed spacer 1, and 5.8S ribosomal RNA". The stretch from base 256 to 303 matches the Rfam family "5.8S ribosomal RNA", at positions 1 to 49 of the family's 154-position model. The record is from RNAcentral.